CUUGAUCCUCCCUUCUCAUCUUCAUCUUCAUCUCUCAUCUCCUGCUGUUGUUUUACUAAUCUCAGUUUUUCUGCUGUGCCUGCCUGUCAUCUCACUCCUUACCUCACCCUUCCUAUCCUAUAUUUAUUAUUGUCUCAUUAUCGUACCACAACACAACACAACUCAACGCUGCUGCUGCUGUAAUUGCAUACUUUUCUUCUAUUAAACCUAUAUAAAAAAGAAGAAAGAAAAGGCCUCUCUCUCUCUCUCUCCCUCCCUCUCCCUCCCUCCCUGUCAAUCUGUUUUUGUUUGUUUGACCCAUCCAUCCAUCCACGCCGCAAUCAAGAAAAAGGGCUCUCUCUCUUCAAACCAACACUCUAUAAUCUCCUCCUCCUGCUGUUGUUCUCUUUAAUAAUUUGAUGAAUGCAGUUUCUUUCCCUCAUACAUCCACAACAAAAGUCUUUUCUGGGAUUCUCACCACGAUGAGGAUGAGAAAUCUGGUGAUUGGGUUGCUCUUCCUCACUGUCUUGUCUCCCAUUCUUCUUUAUACUGAUAAAUUAUCCUCCUCCUUUACCCCUUCUUCUUCUAAACAAGAAGAUGUUAAUGCUUUUACUCUCCCUACUGAUACCAGACAUCUCAACGUGUUGCCCCAGGAGGAAUCAUCUACCGUGAUUAAAGAACCCAUUGGGAUUGUGUAUACUGAUCACAUCGACUCCUCCUCCAAUACCAUUCUGACUGAAAAAGAUUUGCAGUUGCCUGAUGCAAGAGAACAUAAAUAUGCUAGAGUACUAUCUGCCACUGAUGACGAAGGUCAUUCUCAAACCGACAAUAUCAUCAAACAGAUCAUUCAGACCACUAAUCAGGAAGAGGAGGAAUCCCAGUCAGACAACGGAAGUGAUCAGGAAAGCCAACAGAAAGCUCAAGUUCAGCUUGAACAACAGUCUGCUGUAAACUCGGGUGACGAUGAUGAGAAGGAUGCUCUGUUAACUGAAACCAAUAAACAGACAGAUCAAACAGCUAUGCCAGAUGCUCGGGUGCGGCAGCUUAGAGAUCAGCUUAUCAAGGCAAGGGUGUACCUGUCCCUUCCGGCAACAAAGAACAAUCCCCACUUUACAAGGGAGCUUCGAAUGCGGGUAAAGGAAGUUCAACGUGUACUUGUAGAUGCAACUAAAGAUUCUGAUCUGCCAAAGAAUGCCUAUGCGAAAUUGAAUGCAAUGGACCAAUUGCUGGAAAAGGGCAAGCAAAUGCAGGAUGACUGUGCUACUAUGGUAAAGAAGCUCCGGGCAAUGCUCCACUCAACAGAAGAGCAACUCCGAGUCCAUAAGAAGCAGACCAUGUUCUUGACGCAAUUAACUGCAAAGACGCUACCUAAAGGUUUGCACUGUCUUCCGUUGCGCCUGACAACGGAGUAUUAUAAUUUGAAUUCUACUGAACAGCAAUUUCCAAAUCAAGAGAAAUUGGAUGACCCUUCACUUCACCAUAUUGCACUAUUCUCGGAUAAUGUUUUGGCAGCAGCAGUGGUUGUGAACUCCACCAUUACCAAUUCUAAGCAUCCUUCGAAGCUUGUUUUCCACAUUGUUAGUGAUAGACUCAACUAUGCAGCAAUGAGGAUGUGGUUUCUAGUAAAUCCACCCGGUGUAGCCACUAUUCAGGUCCAGAACAUUGAAGAAUUCACAUGGUUAAAUUCAAGUUAUAGUCCUGUUCUGAAGCAGUUGGGUUCUCGAUCAAUGAUUGAUUAUUACUUCAGGGCAGCUCGUGCCAGUUCUGAUUCGAAUUUGAAGUACCGGAACCCAAAGUACCUGUCCAUCCUGAACCAUCUUCGCUUUUACCUGCCAGAGAUUUUCCCAAAGCUCAACAAGGUGUUGUUCUUAGAUGAUGAUAUAGUGGUGCAGAAGGAUCUUACUGGCCUUUGGUCCCUUGAUUUGAAGGGUAAUGUGAAUGGUGCUGUAGAGACCUGUGGAGAAAACUUCCAUCGUUUUGAUCGAUAUCUCAACUUCUCAAAUCCUCAUAUCUCAAAGAAUUUUGAUCCCCGUGCUUGUGGAUGGGCAUAUGGAAUGAACAUCUUUGAUUUGAAGGAAUGGAAGAGGCAAAACAUCACUGAUGUAUAUCAUACAUGGCAGAAGCUGAAUCAUGACAGACAAUUAUGGAAGUUGGGGACUCUGCCACCUGGCCUCAUUACUUUUUGGAAACGGACUCACCCCCUCGACCGACGUUGGCAUGUUCUGGGCCUUGGCUAUAAUCCCAAUGUGAGCCAAAGAGAAAUUGAACGAGCAGCUGUUAUACAUUACAAUGGCAACAUGAAACCAUGGCUUGAAAUAGGCAUACCCAAGUAUCGAAGCAACUGGGCAAAAUAUGUUGAUUAUGAUCAUGCAUAUUUGCGAGAGUGCAAUAUCAAUCCAUAAAAUAUAAUCCUCGUGGUGUCUUCCAUUCAUUAGAGCUCCAUGCAAAUGCUGUGCCAACAUUUUACAGGUCCACAUCACUUUGUUGGCUCUUCCACAUCCUGUGCCAACAUUUUUACAGGCUCUGCUUGAACAUCAGUCAUUUUUCACCCACCGACACUUGUUUUCGUGCGUGUACUGCGUGUGUUAGAAUACUGGACCCAGCUGGGAGUGGAGGGUUUGAGGCAGAAAAAGAAAAGGGUGUGACUAGUGAGAGCUGGGCUGGUUCAAGCUGUGAUGUGAUAGUGGGGGGAGUGAGUUGGCUAAUUGAAUCAAUUCCGUUCAUGCAAUGACUUCAUAGUGGCCCACAAGGCAGGGGCAUGGGGCUGGGACAGCCUGUUUUUCAUUAGUCGUAGCAGUUACAGUUGGGGUUCACGUUAAGAUAUCCUCCUCCUCCUUCCUCACGUGGUGGGACUCUACUCGUUUCUCCGUGUCUGUCUGCCCUGGUUGUUGCUUUCUCUAUUUCGGUUCUUAUUACACGGGUCCCACAGCAUAGAUGAGUCCGUGAAGGACGGGACAGGUAUUGCCCGAACAAGAUGCGCGGGGCUGCCUUCGAGAUCCAAGUUGCGUUGGCUUGGCUUUCUAAGAUCCGUUCAUGAAUUAUUGACUGUUGAUGAUGAAGAGCUCCUAUAGAUAGUUCUGGAUUUCAAAGAGACAGUUCCCCUCCCUCCAUGGAUUUAACAGCCGAGCCUGACGUUAACUGUUGAUGAUGAAGAACUCUAUAGUUCUGGAGAUGAGUCAAGGUUGGGGACAACAGAUGCUUCUUGCAAGACAAAAAAGUAUUCAUGAAUUAUUAACUCCAUAUAUGUGUGAGUGAGAUUACUACUCAGAACUUGCGGGUGGAAUAAGGAACUCGCCUCGCCCGGUAAAUUGAUAAUAAUUUCAGACGACCUUCAUUUAAAAAAAAAAUAAUAAUAAAUUCAAUAGGAUU
Molecule: RNA transcript, 3348 nt
Organism: Populus nigra (black poplar)
Lineage: Eukaryota; Viridiplantae; Streptophyta; Magnoliopsida; Malpighiales; Salicaceae
Gene name: probable galacturonosyltransferase 4
Exons: 10
Source: RefSeq, a predicted model, not a curated record